UAAAUAUUCCCUCCGUCCGGAAAUACUUGUCAAAAAGAUGGAUAAAAAUGGUUGCAUUUAGAACUAAAAUAUGUCUAGAUACAUCCACUCUGACAAGUAUUUUCGGAUGGAGGAAGUAUAAA
Molecule: non-coding RNA, 122 nt
Organism: Triticum aestivum (bread wheat)
Lineage: Eukaryota; Viridiplantae; Streptophyta; Magnoliopsida; Poales; Poaceae
Source: Rfam